This 908-nucleotide ribosomal RNA is filed under the name uncultured bacterium. RNAcentral describes it as "bacterial SSU rRNA". It matches the Rfam family "Bacterial small subunit ribosomal RNA", at positions 1 to 899 of the family's 1533-position model. The record is from RNAcentral.
UAGAGUUUGAUCCUGGCUCAGAUUGAACGCUGGCGGCAGGCCUAACACAUGCAAGUCGAGCGGUAACAGGACUAGCUUGCUAGUUGCUGACGAGCGGCGGACGGGUGCGUAACACGUAGGAAUCUGCCCGGUAGUGGGGGAUAGCCCGGAGAAAUCCGGAUUAAUACCGCAUACGCUUCAAGAGGGAAAGCAGGGGACUCUUCGGAACCUUGCGCUAUCGGAUGAGCCUGCGUCGGAUUAGCUGGUUGGUGGGGUAAAGGCCUACCAAGGCAACGAUCCGUAGCUGGUCUGAGAGGAUGAUCAGCCACACUGGGACUGAGACACGGCCCAGACUCCUACGGGAGGCAGCAGUGGGGAAUAUUGCACAAUGGGCGAAAGCCUGAUGCAGCCAUGCCGCGUGUGUGAAGAAGGCCCUAGGGUUGUAAAGCACUUUCAGCGAGGAGGAAAGGUUCAAGGUUAAUACCCUUGAGCUGUGACGUUACUCGCAGAAGAAGCACCGGCUAACUCCGUGCCAGCAGCCGCGGUAAUACGGAGGGUGCGAGCGUUAAUCGGAAUUACUGGGCGUAAAGCGUGCGUAGGCGGCUUGUUAAGUUGGAUGUGAAAGCCCCGGGCUUAACCUGGGAACGGCAUCCAAAACUGGCAAGCUAGAGUGCGGAAGAGGAGUGUGGAAUUUCCUGUGUAGCGGUGAAAUGCGUAGAUAUAGGAAGGAACACCAGUGGCGAAGGCGACACUCUGGUCUGACACUGACGCUGAGGUACGAAAGCGUGGGGAGCAAACAGGAUUAGAUACCCUGGUAGUCCACGCCGUAAACGAUGUCCUACUAGUCGUCGGGGAUCUUUGCAUUUCCUGGUGACGCAGCUAACGCGAUAAGUAGACCCGCCUUGGGGAGAACGGCCGCAAGGUUAAAA